AUACGUAGGGGGCGAGCGUUGUCCGGAAUGACUGGGCGUAAAGGGCGUGUAGGCGGCCGAUUAAGUCUGGAGUGAAAGUCCUGCUUUCAAGGUGGGAAUUGCUUUGGAGACUGGUUGGCUUGAGUGCGGAAGAGGUAAGUGGAAUUCCCAGUGUAGCGGUGAAAUGCGUAGAGAUUGGGAGGAACACCAGUGGCGAAGGCGACUUACUGGGCCGUAACUGACGCUGAGGCGCGAAAGCGUGGGGAGCGAACAGGAUUAGAUACCCUGGUAGUCCACGCGGUAAACGAUGAAUGCUAGGCGUAGGGGGUAUCGACCCCUCCUGUGCCGGAGUGAACACAAUAAGCAUUCCGCCUGGGGAGUACGGCCGCAAGGUUGAAACUCAAAUGAAUUGACGGGG
RNAcentral lists this ribosomal RNA (397 nucleotides) under uncultured bacterium. RNAcentral's name for it is "partial 16S ribosomal RNA". It matches the Rfam family "Bacterial small subunit ribosomal RNA", at positions 523 to 918 of the family's 1533-position model. The record is from RNAcentral.